Small nuclear RNA from Camelus dromedarius (Arabian camel), 164 nucleotides. Its record names the gene U1. It matches the Rfam family "U1 spliceosomal RNA". Rfam says of the family: U1 is a small nuclear RNA (snRNA) component of the spliceosome (involved in pre-mRNA splicing). The record is from Ensembl. Lineage: Eukaryota; Metazoa; Chordata; Mammalia; Artiodactyla; Camelidae.
AUACUUACCUGGCAGGGGAGAUACCAUGAUGACGAAGGUGGUUUUCCCAGGGCCAGGCUUAUCCAUUGAAACCUGGAUGUGCUGACCCCUGUGAUUUCCCCAAAUGUGGGAAACUUGACUGCAUAAUUUGUGGUAGUGGGGGACUGUGUUCACGCUCUCCCCUA